This 164-nucleotide ribosomal RNA is filed under the name Triticum aestivum (bread wheat). RNAcentral describes it as "5.8S ribosomal RNA". It matches the Rfam family "5.8S ribosomal RNA". From Rfam's summary of the family: 5.8S ribosomal RNA (5.8S rRNA) is a component of the large subunit of the eukaryotic ribosome. The record is from RNAcentral. Lineage: Eukaryota; Viridiplantae; Streptophyta; Magnoliopsida; Poales; Poaceae.
CACACGACUCUCGGCAACGGAUAUCUCGGCUCUCGCAUCGAUGAAGAACGUAGCGAAAUGCGAUACCCGGUGUGAAUUGCAGAAUCCCGCGAACCAUCGAGUCUUUGAACGCAAGUUGCGCCCGAGGCCACUCGGCCGAGGGCACGCCUGCCUGGGCGUCACGC